Molecule: long non-coding RNA, 3894 nt
Organism: Atta colombica
Lineage: Eukaryota; Metazoa; Arthropoda; Insecta; Hymenoptera; Formicidae
Exons: 3
Source: RefSeq, a predicted model, not a curated record
UAUCAACGCGAGUCAUUUCUUUUGAGAGCACGAGUGCGACUUUGAUAAGCUAUAUAAUUACAAACAAGACGCGGGAACAAAUUGAGAUAUAUGUUUUACGUCUAAAAGAAUCGAUUGUUCUCGAGAUAAACGGCUCGUAUGUGUGCGACUGUGUUCAUUUUGUAUUUGCGAAAAUUUAAAGGAUCGAGGUGCAACGACAAUCCAAAGAUGCGAUCUCGGAGAACAGCGGUUAGCAUUGUUGUAGUAUGAUCGCAUGAAUUGGCAAGAGUAUCGCCAGAGAAACUUGCGCGAGAUUUCCUUUUCUUUUUUCGUCGAGAAUGUGCGUGAAAGAAAAAGUAAGAAAGAAUGAAUGGAAGAGAGAACGAUAGUUAAAGAACUACGAAUCUAAUAGGGGAAGUUAAUAAUAGUUGUAAGAAUAGCGAGUCGCGAUCUCUGUGAUGAUGAUAACAACGUUGAGGACAGUGGCGAUGAUUUUUCCUCCCUCCGUGUCCCUUUGACGGUUACUGUCACGGGCACGACGAGAUGCAAUUAACCGUCGAGGUUUUUAGAAUACAUAAGACAUAGAUGAUAACGACUGUAAUCUAUUAUGUAGUAUUGUAAAAGAAAAACAAAAAGCUAAUACUUAAGGUUCUGACUGGAGCGCGUUAAUAGGCAUUAUAUAUAUAUGUCACGAUUAAGAAUUUAACUGUUUACAAGGAGGGAGCACGUCGGUCGAUGAUAAUGAAGAUUGUAAUAUAGACGACGCGAUACAUUUAAAUAAUUGUAAAUAAGCAGAUAAAAACGCGUAGGAGGGAGGGUGGAUACCCUCGAAAACAGGCACAGAGGCAGAGAAUUAUUUUGCUACGCGAGAAGAGGGAAGACUUCCGAGAGUUUUUGUGUGCGGUUCACAUUGAUGACCCGUUCGAGCGAUUCGUCAGAUCCGAACGUCGAUAAACAGCCGAUUUCGCAAACGUGAGAUUAAAACCGCGAGAAUGGACAAGAACAAGAAGAAGAAAGAAGACACAAGAAGAACAGAAGAGAGGAAGAAUCGUCGUUACGCGCAGAAACGAGAUCUAGAUCGUCUAUUCAUCUAAUGACGAGAUCCAAUGUCAAGUUCGCAUUUGUGAUAAUAUUUCCAAGAUCUUCGGAGGAGAGGAAUAAUACCAAGAAUCGCUAUCUUUGAACAACGGAAAAUUAUCCUCAACAACAAUACAUCAGAUAAUUCGAGAUAAUUCGUCGUAAAUGCGGGAUAAACAAUUCUGUCGAGAAAGUAAACUGAGUGGCUAUUUCUUAUCUGUUAUUGAGAUAGGAUGACUCAAGGAAGAAAUGCGAGAGACAUCAUUGUGAUCGCAUGAGAGACGAGGAAGGAGAGAUGGAUGAUACGUAGAUGACCAGCGACGGCCACCUUUCGACGCAUAUCCCCAUAUUGUUUUCGCGAAACAAUCAUCUUAUCCUUGCGCGUCCGACGAGGAAAUUUCGAAGAAGAAUUAGAAGUAAUCAAGAAAGAAGAGAAAGGCGGAAGAUCGGGAUACGGAUGACAAACUCGACGCAAAGGAUCAUCGCAGCUUUUUUUCUUCGUCUUUAUAUCCGCAGAAACAAAAGAGAAUCGUCAAGAGACCAAGAUGCGGAUGAUCGAAAAUCCAAGGACGAAGACUGUGACGCUCGGGGAAAAUAAUGUAACGAAUAAGGUGAAGUUGAAGGAAGUUCCUGGAAGCUGUUCGCUUAAAUCGCUCGAUAUUAUUGUAAGAAGAAGAAAAAAAGAGAGAAGAGUCAUAUUUGAAAGGUGUUAGAGCGUAAACUGUUUGUAUCGUACUUUGCUUUGCACAUUUAAUACUGAUGAGUUUUUCGAAGAAAGAGCUGUGAAGCAAAACUAAAGGGAUUCAACAAAGAAGAAGAAAUGCAACGAUUAUGGAGAAGAGAGAGCGAUAAUGGAAGAAGACUAAGGAAACGCAAAUUUCUCGGGUGCGAGUGAUCAUCAAGAUACGGAGCGAAGAGCGGAGCAGCAAGUAUAUAUGAAAAAAGCUCUCCGUUCGUUAGCAGAGCAGUAUCUUGAGUCUGAAUGAGUGUAGUGGGUCUCAGGAUUUCCAAGAAGAAAAAGAAACGGACCAGAAAAUGUCUUUUUGAAAAGGCGCCAAAAAAAAAAUUAUAAGUGCAGAUGAAACCAAUGAGAGAGAAAGCGGGCAUGCGUGAAUGUACGAAAGAGGCGAGAAGUGUCGAGGGCAAGAGACUAACGAAGGAGAGAGAGAGAAAAAGAGGAAGAGAGCUUAAGAGAGAAGUGGAAGAGAAGACCGAAAGGAGUCAACGAUUUGGUGUGCAAUAGUGUCCGAUCGAUUUCGGGGAUGUGGUAAACCAGGAGAACAAAAAGCAGGCGGAGUUUUCGAUUCCUCGAUCACAAGUCGUGGGAAAACCCCAAGCGGAGAGUCUUUACGCAAGAGAAAAGCCGGGGAGUUUUAACAGAACUUUCUGUUUCCGUGACUUCCAGAGUAUAUUUCAGCGCAGCGCAAUUAUACAGCCACAUACACGGGGACGGAGUUCAUGUAUUUCUAUGUCUAUGUGAGUCGCUUAUAUAUUAUGAGAGGCGCACAUAUUCAUAUUAUUGUUGAACGAAGAAAGAAAAGGAGAUACAAUAAAAAGAGAACUGUGGAAGACAAACUGCGAAAUCAGAGAAGAAUCUCUGAUGAGAUGAUCGGAGAUAAGACAGAAAUAGAAGAAGAUAAGUUGCGGACUCGCUUGACGAGUCCGUGUAAAUAGAUGUGUGCUGCCGCUUUAAAAAGAAGAAACCGAAGAAUCCUUGGAAUCUACAUAUUCAAGAGGAGAACGGAAUUAGCAUCUUGCCGUUCACGUAAGAAGCGAAGAAGGAAAUAAUCAGAAUGGAGUAGAAGAAAUUUUCAAUUAUUUUUUUCAAUAUAUUUCCAUUCCCUUAUUAAAAAAGAAGAAAGAUUUUUUUAAUCGAUUUAAGAAUUCUAACACGUGACUUUUGGCCAUCUUCAAGAUUUGCAAUAUAUUUCAAGGGAGAAUCGCUUUUUUCUUUGUUUCUUCCAUCUUGUAUGUCCAGUUGUAUUCUACUUAAAGAUUCUUCCGCAUAAUCCUUCAUUAUCAUUCGAACGUUCACAUGAGCCUGGACAGGGGGGGGGGGUUUUUAGUGGGUAGGCGAUACACAUAUGUCGAAUCCCACACACCUCGGGGUACGGAUCCCGAGGCGUCUUGCGAAGAUUUUCCCCCUCCUACGUAAAACAAAAAAAAAAAAAGAAAUGAUGCUAUAAGUCUGUUUUCUGUGGCCAAACCAGUGUAUACUUUUGAAACUUAAAGUGAAAUAGGUAUAUAUUUGAUAUUUGUCGAAAGCGAGAAAGAGAGUGCAGAAACAGAAAACAGACCAUAUGUAAGCUGACCUUUUGAAAAGAGACGUGCAAACUGUCCUUUUCAGGACAAAUUUUCAACAUAUCUAAUAAAUAAUAAAAUGUUCUUCCUGUUAAAAUACAUUCCCUUUUCAGGAUAUUGCUAUGAUCGAUUGGAGACAGUAUAAACAUUUACAUACAUAUGUGCAACAUAUAAAACAUACAUAGCAAUGUGUCAGUCCAUUCAGCAAAUGGCGCAAGCAAUUGCGUCAAUCAGAACUACGUUCAAAACAAGUGACGUGGAAAUUUCCAUAUUUCAAUAUUCGCACGAACAUCUCCAAUAGUCAGCAUAUCUCUAUAAAAGUUUACCAUCUGUGACGUUGUAGAAUUUUACACACGCGCCUGCUCCGUAAACUGCGAAUAUGUCUUGAUUGCCAAUCAUCCAUGUUAAUCCCACAAUUGUAUUGUCCACGGAAAUGGUUUGAUGACUGACAUGCUACGUUCAUGUAACACAAUUAUGUAAUGUGAAAGUUAUAUUUAAAAAAUUAAAAUUAAUAUAUAAUAAACAUUUUUAUAAAAA